UGUGGCAGAAUAGUGCAAUAAAUUUAAGCUUUAUUAAUAAAGUCAAUCUUUCUUUAGA
Molecule: transfer RNA, 58 nt
Filed under: Lycostomus sp. UPOL LF0320
Lineage: Eukaryota; Metazoa; Arthropoda; Insecta; Coleoptera; Lycidae
Also listed under: 1 other name
Description: tRNA-Leu
Source: RNAcentral